This 1639-nucleotide ribosomal RNA is filed under the name Pseudomonas aeruginosa JJ692. RNAcentral describes it as "bacterial LSU rRNA". It matches the Rfam family "Bacterial large subunit ribosomal RNA", at positions 1306 to 2925 of the family's 2925-position model. Lineage: Bacteria; Pseudomonadati; Pseudomonadota; Gammaproteobacteria; Pseudomonadales; Pseudomonadaceae. The record is from RNAcentral.
GUAACGACAAUGGGUGUGAAAAACACCCACGCCGAAAGACCAAGGGUUCCUGCGCAACGUUAAUCGACGCAGGGUUAGUCGGUUCCUAAGGCGAGGCUGAAAAGCGUAGUCGAUGGGAAACAGGUUAAUAUUCCUGUACUUCUGGUUACUGCGAUGGAGGGACGGAGAAGGCUAGGCCAGCUUGGCGUUGGUUGUCCAAGUUUAAGGUGGUAGGCUGAAAUCUUAGGUAAAUCCGGGGUUUCAAGGCCGAGAGCUGAUGACGAGUCGUCUUUUAGAUGACGAAGUGGUUGAUGCCAUGCUUCCAAGAAAAGCUUCUAAGCUUCAGGUAACCAGGAACCGUACCCCAAACCGACACAGGUGGUCGGGUAGAGAAUACCAAGGCGCUUGAGAGAACUCGGGUGAAGGAACUAGGCAAAAUGGCACCGUAACUUCGGGAGAAGGUGCGCCGGCUAGGGUGAAGGAUUUACUCCGUAAGCUCUGGCUGGUCGAAGAUACCAGGCCGCUGCGACUGUUUAUUAAAAACACAGCACUCUGCAAACACGAAAGUGGACGUAUAGGGUGUGACGCCUGCCCGGUGCCGGAAGGUUAAUUGAUGGGGUUAGCGCAAGCGAAGCUCUUGAUCGAAGCCCCGGUAAACGGCGGCCGUAACUAUAACGGUCCUAAGGUAGCGAAAUUCCUUGUCGGGUAAGUUCCGACCUGCACGAAUGGCGUAACGAUGGCGGCGCUGUCUCCACCCGAGACUCAGUGAAAUUGAAAUCGCUGUGAAGAUGCAGUGUAUCCGCGGCUAGACGGAAAGACCCCGUGAACCUUUACUGUAGCUUUGCACUGGACUUUGAGCCUGCUUGUGUAGGAUAGGUGGGAGGCUUUGAAGCGUGGACGCCAGUUCGCGUGGAGCCAUCCUUGAAAUACCACCCUGGCAUGCUUGAGGUUCUAACUCUGGUCCGUAAUCCGGAUCGAGGACAGUGUAUGGUGGGCAGUUUGACUGGGGCGGUCUCCUCCUAAAGAGUAACGGAGGAGUACGAAGGUGCGCUCAGACCGGUCGGAAAUCGGUCGUAGAGUAUAAAGGCAAAAGCGCGCUUGACUGCGAGACAGACACGUCGAGCAGGUACGAAAGUAGGUCUUAGUGAUCCGGUGGUUCUGUAUGGAAGGGCCAUCGCUCAACGGAUAAAAGGUACUCCGGGGAUAACAGGCUGAUACCGCCCAAGAGUUCAUAUCGACGGCGGUGUUUGGCACCUCGAUGUCGGCUCAUCACAUCCUGGGGCUGAAGCCGGUCCCAAGGGUAUGGCUGUUCGCCAUUUAAAGUGGUACGCGAGCUGGGUUUAGAACGUCGUGAGACAGUUCGGUCCCUAUCUGCCGUGGACGUUUGAGAUUUGAGAGGGGCUGCUCCUAGUACGAGAGGACCGGAGUGGACGAACCUCUGGUGUUCCGGUUGUCACGCCAGUGGCAUUGCCGGGUAGCUAUGUUCGGAAAAGAUAACCGCUGAAAGCAUCUAAGCGGGAAACUUGCCUCAAGAUGAGAUCUCACUGGGAACUUGAUUCCCCUGAAGGGCCGUCGAAGACUACGACGUUGAUAGGCUGGGUGUGUAAGCGUUGUGAGGCGUUGAGCUAACCAGUACUAAUUGCCCGUGAGGCUUGACCAU